Long non-coding RNA from Lagenorhynchus albirostris (white-beaked dolphin), 1317 nucleotides. RefSeq lists it as uncharacterized. The record is from RefSeq and is a predicted model, not a curated record. NCBI's taxonomy places the organism in Eukaryota, Metazoa, Chordata, Mammalia, Artiodactyla, Delphinidae. The transcript is spliced from 3 exons.
GGUGAGCGGAGCCCCUAGAGAUUGCCCUGGAGCACAAACCACCCUAAAUGGAGCCUGAAGGUCUGUCAGUUCCCAGAGAGCAAUGAGGAAAUGAACCGUAACACUGGAUUUGGUGCUGGAAUAUAAAACUUGGUGAAACUUCCAGGCUGGUGGAAAGUCUGUCACCUCCUUACUGCAAGUGGAUGUUCUCGUCUGACAUUAAAGUUCCCGUGUCUCUUGCUGAAACUGGCUAGUGAAUCCCGAAGGCCUGACAUAGAAGAAGCUUCCAUUGUUGACACGGGACCUGUAGAGCCCUGCCCUUCGUUGGAGUUACAGGCACACCUGGCUUCCAGCAGAUCAGGAGAGGGUAAGAUGCCCGACUCACAUCUCUUCUCCUGCCUGAUCUGGGGCCGCAAAGCAGGGCCUCAGCCUGGACAUCAACCCCAGCACUUCAAGGAGGUGCCGUCCUAUUGGAUUUGAUGAACUUGACCUCUAGCAGAGCGUCCUGGAAGAUCACAGACUUAACACAGCACAAGGGACUGGUUUUCAGAGCAAACCCCUGGUUUUAUAGAUGAAACUAGUAAAAGAAGAAAAAUUCACUGAAGCGCCCAUGUACUUUAUCCUGCCCCCAACCUUGUCCUUUCCAUAAUGAGAAUGUCUCCAUGUGGAAUGGCCUGCAGGGUCCUGUCCCUGGGCUGGCCACAGUGACGGAUGCCCUACCUCACUCCUCAUGCCCUCUUUUGAGAAAUGUAACUCUCUCAAGCACCUCCCGUUACCCUUCAGAGAUUCAAAUAUGCACCUGCAGAGGUGGGAUGGAGAAUGCUGUGCAGAGGGGAUUCUUGUAACUGACAGAAACUUUCUCCAGAAGCAGAAUGACUCUAGAGCUUUGUGCCCCAUUUGGCGUUCUUAAAACUGAGAAACACUCGGGUGAAGUUGUCCUCCACCUCCGGCUCACAGGGGAGAUCCUACCGUUUGUCUUUGGCCCUGCCUAGUCCAGUUAGCAGCUCUUACCCUGGCUGGCUGCCUCCUCGAAAGCUCACUGCUGACUCAGGCAGCUGAGAGAACAGGGUCUGAAAUUCCCAUUCAAUGCAGAUUCCUGGACUCUUCUGAUCUUGGGGCGAGAUGCAGAAAUGUACAUUUUUGAACACAUAAAGUUUUUCUUUCUGAUGGCACAAGUGUAAUAUAGGUAGAUACAUGUAGUAUCUACUCAGUGUAAAAACAAUAAACGUUCACACAAAGCAGUGCCCCCCACCCCUUCCCUACACCAUUCCUUCCCACAGGUUAUCACUUAUCAUCUUGGUUUGUGUCCUUAUAAUCCUCUUGGAACACAUACAUGGA